CCUACGGGUGGCAGCAGUGGGGAAUAUUGCACAAUGUGGGAAACCCUGAUGCAGCGACGCCGCGGGAAGGAAGAAGUAUUUCGGUAUGUAAACUUCUAUCAGCAGGGAAGAAAAUGAAGGUACCUGACUAAGAAGCCACGGCUAACUACGUGCCAGAAGCCGCGGGAAUACGUAGGGGGCAAGAGUUAACCGGAUGUACUGGGUGUAAAGGGAGCGUAGGCGGGUUAGCAAGUCAGAAGUGAAAGCCCGGGGCUCAACUCCGGGACUGCUUUUGAAACUGUUGAACUAGAUUGCAGGAGAGGUAAGUGGAAUUCCUAGUGUAGCGGUUAAAUGCGUAGAUAUUAGGAGGAACACCAGUGGCGAAGGCGGCUUACUGGACUGUAAAUGACGCUGAGGCUCGAAAGCGUGGGGAGCAAACAGGAUUAGAUACCCUGGUAGUC
This 440-nucleotide ribosomal RNA is filed under the name uncultured bacterium. Its description in RNAcentral is "partial 16S ribosomal RNA". It matches the Rfam family "Bacterial small subunit ribosomal RNA", at positions 338 to 795 of the family's 1533-position model. The record is from RNAcentral.